RNAcentral lists this ribosomal RNA (369 nucleotides) under uncultured phototrophic eukaryote. Its description in RNAcentral is "SSU rRNA". It matches the Rfam family "Bacterial small subunit ribosomal RNA", at positions 524 to 896 of the family's 1533-position model. The record is from RNAcentral.
UACGGGGGAUGCAAGCGUUAUCCGGAAUCAUUGGGCGUAAAGCGCCUGUAGGUUGUUUAAUAAGUCUGUUGUUAAAGACUAGGGCUUAACCCUAGGAAAGCAAUGGAAACUAUUAGACUUGAGUACGGCAGGGGUAGAGGGAAUUUCUAGUGUAGCGGUGAAAUGCGUAGAUAUUAGAAAGAACACCGGUGGCGAAAGCGCUCUACUGGACCGUUACUGACACUCAGAGGCGAAAGCUAGGGUAGCAAAAGGGAUUAGAUACCCCUGUAGUCCUAGCCGUAAACGAUGGAUACUACAUGUUGUAUAUUAUGUACAGUAUGGUAGCUAACGCGUUAAGUAUCCCGCCUGGGGAGUACGCUCGCAAGGGUG